Molecule: long non-coding RNA, 840 nt
Filed under: Mytilus galloprovincialis (Mediterranean mussel)
Lineage: Eukaryota; Metazoa; Mollusca; Bivalvia; Mytilida; Mytilidae
Source: RNAcentral
GGCUUCUUGAACGUCGAAUAAUAAAAGAUAAUAGUAUAGAAAAUUACUCAUAUAUGAACCUCAAAAAGAAUCCGUAAGGGUGUGAUAAAGUUGUCUCCGUUUCAGAUUUCGACGGAUACAAAAAACGGGAAAAAUACAUAUUAAACAUUCUACCUCCGGAAGCCAUGUUAGAUGACAGAUACAACUUCUAGCAGUUAAAUGUUGGCUAUUAAAAACAUAUAUAAAUUCAUGUUGUUCUUAUUUUCGUUAGAGGUCAUUAAAAGUAGAAAGCUGAUCUUUUUAGAUCCUUUAUUGAUCCUUUGAAUAAAAUUAUUCAUAAAUGUUUCAAUUUAAAACUGAAAUGAAAUAUUGGAAAUUUUGUUUUUAUCGGUACUAACAACAGUUUUGUUUUUUGGUACUUUAUUCCGCCUUUUUAAUAUUUUUUUUAUUCGAACGUCAUUGAUGAGUCUUUUGAAGACGAAACACACGUCUGGCGCAAAUAUAAAAUUUCAAUCCUGGUAUCUAUGAUGAGUUGAUCUUAUAUAUGAUCUCUAUGUGUCGUCUCAUAGAGACAUAACUUGUGACUGUUACCAGUAUAAAAACAUAUUUUUACGGUGAAAAAUGUAUUAUGAAGUCGGCAAAAAGUAAAGGAAGGGGUAGUACAUAAUUUUAAUAUAAGUUUAAACUUUAACAAUGUCAGAGCAAUUAAUGUUGAAAACAUGCAGCACAGCCCUCUGUUUUGACAUUUGAAUAUAAUAGUCGUGAUAUUAACUUUCCAUUCUAUGAUAUAUUUUUUUUACGAAACUUCGUAGUAAUAAAAUCAACGGUACCAAUUUUGUUGCACCAGAUGCGCAUUUCGAC